Molecule: ribosomal RNA, 477 nt
Filed under: uncultured bacterium
Lineage: Bacteria
Description: partial 16S ribosomal RNA
Rfam family: Bacterial small subunit ribosomal RNA
Source: RNAcentral
GAUUAACGCUGGCGGCGUGCAUAACACAUGCAAGUCGAACGAUGAAACUUUAAUGAACCCUUCGGGGAGAAUUAAAGCGGAUUAGUGGCGAACGGGUGAGUAACGCGUGAGUAACCUGCCUUACACAAGGGGAUAGCCUUUGGAAACGAAGAAUAAUACCCUAUAAAACCAUAAAAGCACAUGCAAUUAUGGUCAAAGUGAUAGCGGUGUAAGAUGGACUUGCGUCUGAUUAGCUAGUUGGUGAGAUAAAAGCCCACCAAGGCAACGAUCAGUAGCUGGCUUGAGAGAGUGUACGGCCACAUUGGGACUGAGACACGGCCCAGACUCCUACGGGAGGCAGCAGUGGGGAAUUUUGCACAAUGGGGGAAACCCUGAUGCAGCGACGCCGCGUGAUUUAGAAGGCCUUCGGGUUGUAAAAAUCUUUUGUAUAGGAAGAAAAUGACAGUACUAUACGAAUAAGGUCCGGCUAAUUACGUG